AGGGAUGUAGCUCAGUGGUAGAGCACUUGCCUAGCAUGCAAGAGUUCCUGGGUUCCAUCCCCACUACCACCA
RNAcentral lists this transfer RNA (72 nucleotides) under Heterocephalus glaber (naked mole-rat). It matches the Rfam family "tRNA". From Rfam's summary of the family: Transfer RNA (tRNA) molecules are approximately 80 nucleotides in length. The record is from Rfam by way of RNAcentral. Lineage: Eukaryota; Metazoa; Chordata; Mammalia; Rodentia; Bathyergidae.